CGGGCGACCGGCGCACGGUGAGUAACGCGUAUGCAACUUACCUAUCAGGAGGGGAGUAACCCGGCGAAAGUCGGACUAAUACCGCAUGAAGCAGGGGCCCCGCAUGGGGAUAUUUGCUAAAGAUUCAUCGCUGAUAGAUAGGCAUGCGUUCCAUUAGGCAGUUGGCGGGGUAACGGCCCACCAAACCGACGAUGGAUAGGGGUUCUGAGAGGAAGGUCCCCCACAUUGGUACUGAGACACGGACCAAACUCCUACGGGAGGCAGCAG
RNAcentral lists this ribosomal RNA (267 nucleotides) under uncultured bacterium. RNAcentral describes it as "partial 16S ribosomal RNA". It matches the Rfam family "Bacterial small subunit ribosomal RNA", at positions 88 to 354 of the family's 1533-position model. The record is from RNAcentral.